UAACCAAGUCUGACCAAGGACAACUGGCCUGUACUGCUGACAAUGGACACAUGAUGACACCUGGACGGGCAGAUGCAACUAUAAAUGUGACAUAUCCACCGGAGAUCCACCUGUCAACAAGACAAGAUGUCAUCAAGUGUCAUGGUCGGGCAUGUCGUAGAAGUUGAAUGUGUCGUUGACGAUGCAAACCCUGCCGUCAACUCCUACAUAUGGCGUCACAACGGCGAUAUCAGUUACGGACAGACUUUUCUGAAACACGUGUCGUCUUCUGAUUCGGGUAACCUAUCGUGCUCUGCUACCAAUAGACAAGGGACAUCAACUGUUCAAACAAGCAUCACAGUCUUGCAAGCUGUCUCUUUGAUCGGGGACAAUGGCACUACAAGCAACAAUACAGUGAUUGCCAUAGCAACAGGAUCUGUUGGCCUGGUCAUCAUCAUCAUCCUCAUCAUCAUCAUCAUCUAUCAGG
Haliotis rubra (blacklip abalone) is the source of this 466-nucleotide long non-coding RNA. RefSeq lists it as uncharacterized. The transcript has 3 exons. The record is from RefSeq and is a predicted model, not a curated record. Lineage: Eukaryota; Metazoa; Mollusca; Gastropoda; Lepetellida; Haliotidae.